GCACUGCUGAGGAGUCCCAUAAUAGGACGAAAUGGUCGUCCAGUGC
Schistosoma mansoni is the source of this 46-nucleotide non-coding RNA. The record is from Rfam. NCBI's taxonomy places the organism in Eukaryota, Metazoa, Platyhelminthes, Trematoda, Strigeidida, Schistosomatidae.